CCAGACUCCUACGGGAGGCAGCAGUGGGGAAUAUUGCACAAUGGGGGAAACCCUGAUGCAGCGACGCCGCGUGAGUGAGGAAGUAUUUCGGUAUGUAAAGCUCUAUCAGCAGGGAAGAAAAUGACGGUACCUGACUAAGAAGCCCCGGCUAACUACGUGCCAGCAGCCGCGGUAAUACGUAGGGGGCAAGCGUUAUCCGGAUUUACUGGGUGUAAAGGGAGCGUAGACGGCGGUGCAAGCCGGAUGUGAAAGCCCGGGGCUCAACCCCGGGACUGCAUUUGAAACUGGGAGGCUAGAGUGUCGGAGAGGGGGGCAGAACUCCUGGUGUAGCGGUGAAAUGCGUAGAGAUUAGGAGGAACACCGGUGGCGAAGGCGGCCUCCUGGACAAUGACUGACGUUGAGGCUCGAAAGCGUGGGGAGCAAACAGGAUUAGAUACCCGCGUAA
RNAcentral lists this ribosomal RNA (445 nucleotides) under uncultured bacterium. RNAcentral's name for it is "partial 16S ribosomal RNA". It matches the Rfam family "Bacterial small subunit ribosomal RNA", at positions 331 to 793 of the family's 1533-position model. The record is from RNAcentral.